Dermacentor andersoni is the source of this 1268-nucleotide non-coding RNA. Lineage: Eukaryota; Metazoa; Arthropoda; Arachnida; Ixodida; Ixodidae. The record is from RefSeq and is a predicted model, not a curated record.
CCUCACAGAAACAAACUGUUGAUAUGUUCCCAUGAAUCAUAUUUAUAGGCCCGUGAAAUUUCACAUGUUAGAUAUCCGCCUGCAUUGUGGAAAAUGAGGUCACUCGAUGAGGGCUUCGCCCUGCAGUGAGUCGAAAUAGGUUCAUUAUGAUGAUUAUGUGACCAACUAGUACAUUGCUCUGACACUUAUGCACUGCAAGGAGCCCUCGGGACUGUAAAUGAGGGUGAUAACAUAUAACUUCAAACCACAAGUAGCAAACCAUAAGCAGCAAAGCUAGCUUUCGUCUUUAAUAGGAAAAGUAAACUAUACCCAGCAAACCAUAAAUGUCCGUUGGACGUACCACAAAAGACCGAAUAUCCAAUACAUUUAAUGACGUCUAGUUCACAUCUAUACAAUCUUGCACUAGUACAUGACAAUCAAGGGUCAUCCGAAGGACAUCGAAUGUGUUAGUGACUUGGACAUCUCAUGCAUACCCAAAGCUUCCGCGCAUUGAUUGCACAUAGUGUGCACAUGUUCGAGAUCCUACGAGAGGGCGAAUGUGUCCCCGAAUUGCGAAAUAUCCAUCUGUUCACUUUGAAAAUAUUCAGUUUGCAGCAUUGGCCCAGAACUUCAGCUAUGGCAGCAUUUAUUUUUUUGCGACGUGGUUAUGAGUAGCAAUUUUGCACGACCUCCGCACGCAAUAUGUGACACCGCGCGUCAGAAACCAAAACUUUCGGCUUCGGUUAUGCCGUUUUUUUUUGCACGCAUAAACGCUUUGUUUUUCAGUUAUACACUGUUAAAAAUGUGUAAUAUUCAACUUGCUGAUAUAUUACGACAGUUUAUGAGGAAAAAAGAAGCUUUAACUGGCAUUAUCCUUGACUUCACAUCGCCACUGAUAUCACUUCACCGCGCGCCUCGACGCAGGUGCAAAAUAAUUUUCCGCGCGCGAGGAGCAUGAAAUGAGCUUCGUCGGUGACUUUUCGACUUUUGUUCGGUUGACCAUGGACCAAGAGGAAGAAGCAGCCGGACUGAGACGUUUGAGUUGGCCGUCCUGUGCAGUAGUAACAUAUACAGAGCCUGAAAGGCACUCCCGAAUCCUGGAACCACAGUUGCACCACUUACUGGAACAAGUCCCACCCACUCCCCGCCCCCGUGAGGCUGCUCACCGAAGUCGGGGAAGGAGCACUGGCGGAAUCGUACGGAUGACGUGGUGUCCCCGACGCCGAUGGCAGCGGCCCCAAGGCGGUAUGGCGUCCACCUCGACGGUGAUCUCCGAGUAGGAGACCACC